GGCAUGGUGGCUCAGUGGUUAGAGCGCCCGCCUCAUGAACCGGGGGUAGUGGGUUCGAACCCCGGCCGAGGCA
Non-coding RNA from Strongylocentrotus purpuratus (purple sea urchin), 73 nucleotides. The record is from Rfam. NCBI's taxonomy places the organism in Eukaryota, Metazoa, Echinodermata, Echinoidea, Camarodonta, Strongylocentrotidae.